ACGGGAGGCAGCAGUGGGGAAUAUUGCACAAUGGGCGCAAGCCUGAUGCAGCGACGCCGCGUGAGCGAAGAAGUAUUUCGGUAUGUAAAGCUCUAUCAGCAGGGAAGAUAAUGACGGUACCUGACUAAGAAGCACCGGCUAAAUACGUGCCAGCAGCCGCGGUAAUACGUAUGGUGCAAGCGUUAUCCGGAUUUACUGGGUGUAAAGGGAGCGUAGGCGGUUUUACAAGUCUGAUGUGAAAGCCCGGGGCUCAACUCCGGUAUUGCAUUGGAAACUGUAGAACUAGAGUGUCGGAGGGGUAAGUGGAAUUCCUAGUGUAGCGGUGAAGUGCGUAGAUAUUAGGAGGAACACCAGUGGCGAAGGCGGCUUACUGGACGAUUACUGACGCUGAGGCUCGAAAGCGUGGGGAGCAAACAGGAUUAGAUACCCUGGUA
Molecule: ribosomal RNA, 434 nt
Filed under: uncultured Pseudobutyrivibrio sp.
Lineage: Bacteria; Bacillati; Bacillota; Clostridia; Lachnospirales; Lachnospiraceae
Description: partial 16S ribosomal RNA
Rfam family: Bacterial small subunit ribosomal RNA
Source: RNAcentral